UCGAAUUUUUUUUUAGGGAUUCAUUGUUACCGUUCUUUGUCUCUUCCACUUCUCCUUCUCCUUCUCCGUUAAUCUUUGACUCCAGAGACAAUGGAUGCUUCUCCAACUUUUAGCCUCCCCUAUCAUUCAACGGGUUUCUCUUAAUUUUUCGCAAAAAGUAAUUAUCUCAAAGCGAAAGGCAGAGAGAAAACGUUAAGGGCAGAGCCCGACCCUUCUUCUUCUUCGUGAAAAAGCUUCUGAAGCCCAGAAAAAGGAAGCAGUUUUAUAUUAACUCUCCUAGAUUUUUCAUCAAGUAAUUGACCCUAAAGCGAGCUUCUUUCACGUCUUCCCUUUUCAUCAUAUCAUCGUUCCAACUCCAUAUCUAUCACCCUCCCCCACUCUCUGUUCAUCUCAAAGACCGAAAACGCUCUUGAUGCUGCAGAGGGUAUUAGCCGUGAAGCUGAACGCCGAGGUUGUCCUGCGUCUAUCGUCUCCAAUGACGAAUUCGACUCGAGAACGCUAUUAUUUUUGUUGUAUCCACUACAGGGCAAGGAGACUCUCCAGAUUCUUUUAAGGAAUUUUGGAGGUUUCUUCUUCAAAGAAACUUGGGAAACUCUUAGUUGCAACGAGUUCGCUUUGCAGUGUUUGGGCUAGGUGAUUCAGGUUACCAGAAGUACAUUGUAAGUGCAUCUGCCACAUUGUGUAAUCUGUUUCACGUUCUUCUCAACAUACAUUUUAUUUCUGGUUCUGUUUUGGUGUAUUCAUCAAUAUGAAGGAAAAAAGUAGGCUUUACCGAGUAAUAAGUAUACUAGCUAACUAAAGAUUCCCACAACCAGAAAUCUUGAGAUGUGUCUGAAUUAUUGUUCCCUCCAAGAGAAGAUUUCUCAGAUGGUUCAGAUCGAACGCAGCGGCGCCACAACUGAUGUCAUGAAGAACUACUUCAUUGGGAGUGUGUUGAGCGGUGGAGGAAGUGUGCCAUCACCAAAGGCCACACCUGAAGCUUGGGUGAACAUGGUCAACGAGAUUCAGAAGGCUGCUCUUUCCACCCGCCUUGGGAUCCCCAUGAUCUAUGGGAUUGAUGCUGUCCACGGUCACAACAACAUGAAUGGCGCCACCAUUUUCCUUCACAAUGUGGGCCUUGGAGUCACCAGGCAAGUCUUUUAACUGUUCUAAUCUUCAUGACUAAAAUUUUGUAAGGCUAUUAACGUGAGACCAGCUUUAAUAUUU
This is a long non-coding RNA of Brassica napus (rape), 1206 nucleotides long. RefSeq lists it as uncharacterized. The record is from RefSeq and is a predicted model, not a curated record. The transcript is spliced from 5 exons. NCBI's taxonomy places the organism in Eukaryota, Viridiplantae, Streptophyta, Magnoliopsida, Brassicales, Brassicaceae.